GGAAGCGGCUCCAUAUGGACUUCGCCGGUCCAUUUCACGGCACAAUGCUGCUGGUGAUUGUGGACGCCAUGUCGAAGUGGCCGGAGGUGGUCCAGAUGAAACACGCCACGUCCGACGGCGUUCUGGAGGCCCUCCUGAACCUGUUCAGCCGUUACGGAGCCUGCACCGAAAUCGUCACCGAUAACGGUACGCAGUUCACAUCGCAAGAGUUUGCCGAUUUCUGCACGGUUCACGGCAUCCGACAUCUUCGGACACCACCUGGCCACCCACAGUCGAACGGCCAGGCGGAGCGCUACGUUCAAACUUUUAAGGACGGAAUCAGCAAGCUGAUGGCCGACCGGAAGCCAUUGCCUACAGCUCUGCGGGAAUUCCUGUUCCGGUACCGCAACGCGCCACAGGCCACAACUGGCAAGUCGCCAGCGGAACUGUUUCUGAGCCGCAAACUGCGUGGUCAGCUGGACUUGCUGGUGCCGGUGCUGAUGACAACGAUAGAGCGUAACCGGAAGCGUUACCAGCAAAAUUUCGACCAACGGACACAGGAGAAGCAUUUCCAAGUUGGCGAUUACGUAAUGGUACGUGAUUACCGUCCGAAUCGCGCAGUUGACUGGCAGCGUGGACAGCUGGUCAGACGUGAAGGUACCCGCAUCUGGGUUGUCCUGGUCAACGGAAUUGACCUGCGAAGGCACGAAAAUCAGAUGCGACCGAGGCAUUGGCUGCACCCAGACGAGCGUGCACUACCGAAUCCGCCAGCUGCACUUGUCGCACCUGCCGCACCGAAGACACCGGAUGUACCGAAAGUACCAGUCGCAUCGCCAGUGCAGACGGCUGCACUGCCUAACGAUGCCUUUCCGGAAGCGGUCACAAAGCAGGAUGCUGGUGGACAGAUCGCUACUGGUAAAGCACCUGAACUUACAUUACCGAAUGUUGAUAGCGCCAAACCAGUGAAGCCAGCGAAUGUGAAGAAUGCUAAGAAAACGCCACGCGUUCCUGAAGCGAUAACUGAUACCAGUUCUCAACUGAAGCCACCGGAACCAGAAGUGCGACGAAGCGGAAGAGACAGAAAAGAACCGGAUCGACUAAUCGCGGAUCCGAAAUUCGGGCGCUAGCUUUGUUUUGGCUUUAGUUGAGUGGGUCUCCCCACUGGGGGAGGUGUCAGAUACAUAUGUGCAGUGUAUACACAUGACCUUUUGCAUAGCAACAUAGAAGUUGCCUGUCAUUGUUGUGCUUUGCUGACAUUCAGUCAGCGACCUGCGAGUUCGAUAAUAAAUAUACAUUUAUUAUCACGUCACGACACAAGUCCUAUCUUGCGUUAAGCGAGCAAAAUCAUUCUUCGGUCUAGAGAACGUCGGCCGUAGAUUUUGACCGCUCAGAUGUGCUUAAGGUUUUCGAUACUUUUAAAAUCCAUCCUCAUCAAAAUUUUUGAAUAGGCAGUUUCACCUGGCUAUGUAAUGGGGCUGGACGGUUGUGCCCGAGUGUGUCUUAGCAUUUGAACGGUUUUUCGGUUCAACGGCAAAUUCGUCUGACGGGCAGGCUAUCCGUUCAUACAUUUAAACCGGCUGCAGACGUUCGCUUUUCACAGCACUGGAUUAUCCUCACUACUUUUGUGUAAUACCGGUAGAAAAAUUUUUGCCAUCCAGUGGCAUUUUCUCGGCAUCCACUGAGUGCCAGCUGGAUGACUUACUGUUCGAUACCACCCCCUUUGUUCGGUAUUUACGGCGGUUUUAUUCUGUAGUAUGCGGAGCCUGCAUAAUGCUUACCUCCACUCCAACGACGCUGAAUAUUCACGGCCUGAACGGUAAAGCCUCGGUUUGCGCUUUCACCUUCAUUGCCCCGGCGGGUAGCGGUGCACAGGUCGACUUUGAUCUGCCCAAUUUCAACCUUUUGACCUGCACUAUGGGAACUUUCAUCGUGUUUGGUGGUUCACAGUACUGCAGUGACCAGAUGCCUCCGCCAACGAUUAAACUAGAUGCCAAUGUUGCGGUAAUAUAUUGUUUCGCGAUUAUGGUGGAAUCUUUUCCUAAAACGCUAAUUUUUGUGGACAACAAUCAGCAGACCACGAAUUCCCUAAUUUUGCAAGUCAAAGCGGCUUCGUGAGCAGCAACGGAGGUUAAGAUAGUUCUUGGAGCCCGUUCUAAGCCUUCGCGCAAUUUUUGGAUAGUGAUCUACAGUCUAUGGAGUACUGAACAAUGGUGCCCUUCUGCAUUUUCCCAGGAGUAUUACCACCAAUCUAAUGGAAUUCUACUAUAUGGAUAUUUUAUGGUUCCAAAUGGUCGCGGUCGCUUAGUGUGUCAUAUUAAACAGCAACAAAAAAGUAAACAUUCACCGAGCAUUUCUGUAGAGGUUUAUUAACUGAAACACGGCCAAAUUAAGAAAUUGCCCUAAAUUACUGAACUGUGGGACCAUUUCCACUCGGUUUUGUU
This is an RNA transcript of Paramacrobiotus metropolitanus, 2420 nucleotides long. RefSeq lists it as uncharacterized. NCBI's taxonomy places the organism in Eukaryota, Metazoa, Tardigrada, Eutardigrada, Parachela, Macrobiotidae. The record is from RefSeq and is a predicted model, not a curated record. The transcript has 4 exons.